Chenopodium quinoa (quinoa) is the source of this 752-nucleotide long non-coding RNA. RefSeq lists it as uncharacterized. The record is from RefSeq and is a predicted model, not a curated record. NCBI's taxonomy places the organism in Eukaryota, Viridiplantae, Streptophyta, Magnoliopsida, Caryophyllales, Amaranthaceae. The transcript has 3 exons.
AUCACACUUUAAUCAAUUGUUUUUAGUACAGAUCUCUUGACAAGAAUAUAACAUCCAAAUCUUGUCCACCAUCAUGUUCGUAUAAGAAACAGAAACUUUUUGAACCAAGAGAUGUGUUGACAAUGUGUAAUUAAAUGAAGACAACUUGAGCAAAAUCGAAACUUCAGAUGGUAUUCAUGGUAAGCAACCUAACUUGCAGCCUCUGGCGACAGUACUCAGAUACAUGGUGAUGUGGAAACCAGCUCAGAACUCAGACGGCAACAAAGAACCUGUGAAGAAGGAAUAUAUUGCCCCUUAUAGGGGACUUCAAUCGCUUUGUCAGUAUGACAGCGAAGAUGAAUAAGCAAACAGAACAUAAUAAGGGAUACUGCUGGACAGGAAAGAUUUCGGAGUCUUAUUCCCAGUUACAUCAAAGAUUCUUCAGUUGCUGUUAUCGUCUAUGAUGUUUCUAGUAAGUGCUUUGUAUGCUAAUGACUUAAUAAGGCUCGUGAUGCAGGGGUAAUUUUCCUGGAGACCAGAGCAAAAGCAGGAUUCAAUAUAAAGUUAGAUGUGCACUAUCGGAAUUAUCAUGCUGCUAUUAACUCGAGUUAGCUUGAAUCCUUCCCCUACAAUGGACAUCAAUGCUGCCAUCGGCAAUGAGGACACCAGCUUGGGUGGAGAAAUGGCAUUGGAUACUGCAUCCGGUUCAUUCACCAAAUACAAUGCUGGGAUUACACUAGUAGAAAAUAUAUAUGUUAGUGUUCAUAUGUCCA